UCCUUUAUUGGGGGUGUCUUGCUAAUUGCCUAUAAUUUCCACCUGUUGUCUAUUCCAUUUGCACAACAGCAUGUGAAAUUUAUUGUCAAUCAGUGUUGCUUCCUAAGUGGACAGUUUGAUUUCACAGAAGUGUGAUUGACUUGGAGUUACAUUGUGUUGUUUAAGUGUUCCCUUAAUUUUUUUGAGCAGUAUAUUUCAGGAUGUUGUGUAUGACUGAAAAUAAUCAGAAUUCAUGUAAACAUUUAAGUUUUGAAAACAGCUCAUUCAAAAAAAGUGGUUUCUUGGCACAACUGACCCCGGGUAUGCAUAGGGACAGGGUAGGUUGAGCUACCUUGGAGUAAGUGGGUGCUGGUAGGUCAAAGUUUAAUUCAUGGAAUGGGGGUGUGGUAUAUUGUAUAUCUGAAAUGUAUGCCUACAUUCAGAUAUAGAUCACUCUAUUCAAUAUUAUUAACCCUUCCAUUUCUUGACCAGUUGUCAGGGACAGGGAUGUUGUUUUGAUGUGCCAAUUCAUAGGCAAGUUCUCUGCAUGAGGCUACUAAGCCCAUGAAUGCAAAAAAUUAUAAUACUAAUGGGGUACUAAGCACAUGAAAGUGCUCUGCGAGAUUCUUGAUAGGUUUAGCAUGCUCAGACUGUCAUCAGAUAAGACCUUGUGUGCCUCUGCUACUUGGUCACAUGAUUAAUGUUGUAUGGUUUCUUAGAAACAAGGGGUGGCUAAACUAACCUUAAGGCUCAACUUACCCCACUGUCCACAACAGCAUUUACUGAUAUGCUACUUACUGAAAUGUUUACAUUUCUUUAAUCAAUAACUAUUGUAGUGAUGAUACAUUAUUGCUGAUUGCCAUGUAUGGUAACUGUGCAUUUUAUUGCUAUUGAUAUUUGUAAAUAUUGCUGACAUACUGGAAAACAUUUACAGAUCACAUGAAGAAAUAAAUGUACUGCUGCAAUUCUUGCUACUACAAAUGUAGUGUUUUGUACUACAGCUGUACUACGGGUUCAGCUCCGUUUGCAAUACAUUUUCAUAAAAACACUUAAUUAAUCAUGAGAAAUAUUUGAGUAAAAGGAGGGCGCAGGCUCAGAGGCGAUGCUUGGGUGCAUCCAAAAUAAUCUCUCCGCAUUGCUGCGAGCGUCAAAGGCUUGGAAGAUGGCGUCGGUCUUGGUUCGUCAGGCCAGACUGUUGGUGUUGAAAAACAGUCGUGUACCAACAUUUUCUGGGUUUUAUGCUAAUGUAUUCGGAGAGGCACCAUCUCAUUACCGAACAGUUGUGUACUCAGCAUCAGGUGGUAUUUUGCCAAAACCCAAGAAGGUGAGUGCUGUCUUGUGAAAAUAUGCGCAGGUCAUUAAUGAAAUCAAUGAGUGGGGAAGGAAUUUAGUAAAGGUGCCUGAAAGUUAUUUGUGCAUGAUAAAAUGGCCAGGCAAGAUUUGUAAUUAUAUCUUAUAAAUUAAUAGGAGUGUUUAAUCGCAGGUAGGAUCUCGGUGAGCCUAUACCUCUCCAUUUCACUUGAAGUGUUAUAAAUACAUGCCUGUUUAAAUGUGUAAAGCAUGCAUCAUGUUGUAAAUUAUUUAUGACAUUCAUUUUUUAUUUUAUCCUGGUAGCCAUUGUGUAUAAAAUCACACAGCAUUGCAGGCUAACAUAGAUAUGUUUUUGUGAUGGAAUUGUUGACAAUGGUCCAGACCUCAUUUGGCCUCUUCCGGAUUGCUGUGGUUGUGAUCCCCUUCCUGUAUGUCGGAACUCUGAUCAGCAAGAACUUUGCUGCGCUGCUGGAAGAGCAUGACAUCUUCGUCCCUGAGGAUGAUGACGAUGAUGACUGAAGGGUCUGUAUGCUCCAACAUAUGACCUGGAGCGUAAUGUGUCGCCUCUCAAGACAACGGGAAGACGUGUGACAGCUGAAAAGACUUGAUGAUCUUAAACUCAAAGCCAUUCUGGUGCUUCUCUCCCCAUCCAUUGUGAUGUGUGCCUGCCUGGAUACAGAGCUGUUUUAGAGAAGUGAUAGGACUAAUUCCUCCCUAGUGAUAAUGUUUACCUGCACAGAUAAGUCUUACUAAAUAAAAUAGAUCGAUGUGCAGAAGGAAACCCUUGGAUCAGUUGCUUUUGAUUUAGCCAGUGAUAUCUUCUACAUUGAUGGAAAUAUUUGUUCUGUUUUCAAUCAUUCUGGGGAUAUUGAUUUACGUGGGAAGGCCUUAAUCAGGUGACAGGCCUGCAUAGGUGUCCCUAUUUAUCUGGUUUCUGAUAUAGGUUAUCAGAACCCUUGGUGCUUUUUAUUCCAACCCGUUGCAUUUGUUUUUGAUGAACUGAUCUAAUAAAGUUGACCUAUAUGUAAUGUC
Long non-coding RNA from Salmo salar (Atlantic salmon), 2322 nucleotides. RefSeq lists it as uncharacterized. The record is from RefSeq and is a predicted model, not a curated record. Lineage: Eukaryota; Metazoa; Chordata; Actinopteri; Salmoniformes; Salmonidae.